GACGAACGCUGGCGGCGUGCUUAACACAUGCAAGUCGAACGGAAAGGCCCUGCUUUUGUGGGGUGCUCGAGUGGCGAACGGGUGAGUAACACGUGAGUAACCUGCCCUUGACUUUGGGAUAACUUCAGGAAGCUGGGGCUAAUACCGGAUAGGAGCUCCUGCUGCAUGGUGGGGGUUGGAAAGUUUCGGCGGUUGGGGAUGGACUCGCGGCUUAUCAGCUUGUUGGUGGGGUAGUGGCUUACCAAGGCUUUGACGGGUAGCCGGCCUGAGAGGGUGACCGGCCACAUUGGGACUGAGAUACGGCCCAGAAUCCUACGGGAGGCAGCAGUGGGGAAUAUUGCACAAUGGGCGGAAGCCUGAUGCAGCAACGCCGCGUGCGGGAUGACGGCCUUCGGGUUGUAAACCGCUUUCGCCUGUGACGAAGCGUGAGUGACGGUAAUGGGUAAAGAAGCACCGGCUAACUACGUG
This 468-nucleotide ribosomal RNA is filed under the name uncultured bacterium. Its description in RNAcentral is "partial 16S ribosomal RNA". It matches the Rfam family "Bacterial small subunit ribosomal RNA", at positions 28 to 507 of the family's 1533-position model. The record is from RNAcentral.